Molecule: ribosomal RNA, 152 nt
Filed under: uncultured bacterium
Lineage: Bacteria
Description: partial 16S ribosomal RNA
Rfam family: Bacterial small subunit ribosomal RNA
Source: RNAcentral
CCGCCCCCCGAACCCCGCGGCUCGGGGCCGGUAGGGGAGGGGGGAACAACCGGUGUAGCGGUGGAAUGCGCAGAUAUCGGGUGGAACCCCGGUGGCGAAGGCGGCCCUCUGGGCCGAGACCGACGCUGAGGCGCGAAAGCUGGGGGAGCGAA